Molecule: ribosomal RNA, 2438 nt
Filed under: Bacteroides ovatus
Lineage: Bacteria; Pseudomonadati; Bacteroidota; Bacteroidia; Bacteroidales; Bacteroidaceae
Description: partial 23S ribosomal RNA
Rfam family: Bacterial large subunit ribosomal RNA
Source: RNAcentral
UGCGUAACAGCUCACUAGUCGAGGAGUUUGGCGUGGAUAAUAAUCGGGCAUUAAGCAAUUUACCGAAGCUAUGGGAUGUUAACUAAACACUAACAUCGGUAGGGGAGCAUUCCACUCUGCGUCGAAGGUGAAGCGUGAGCUUUGCUGGAGCGUGUGGAAAAGCAAAUGUAGGUAUAAGUAACGAUAAAGGGGGUGAGAAACCCCCUCGCCGAAAGACUAAGGUUUCCUGAUCAACGCUNGGAAGGAGUAGACGCGAAACCAAGUGAUCUACCCUUGGUCAGGUUGAAGGUUAGGUAACACUAACUGGAGGACCGAACCGAUAAGCGUUGAAAAGCUUCCGGAUGAACUGAGGGUGGGGGUGAAAGGCUAAUCAAACUUGGAGAUAGCUCGUACUCCCCGAAAUGCAUUUAGGUGCAGCCUUGGGAAUUACUACUGUGAGGUAGAGCGACUGAUAAGAUGCGAGGGCUUCACCGCCUAUCAAGUCUUGAUAAACUCCGAAUGCGCAGUAGUUCGAUCCCAGGAGUGAGGGCAUGGGUGCUAAGGUCCAUGUCCUAAAGGAGAAGAAUCCAGACCAUCAGCUAAGGUCCCGAAAUAAUUGCUAAGUUGAACUAACGAAGUCAGAUUGCUAAGACAGCUAGGAUGUUGGCUUGGAAGCAGCCAUUCAUUUAAAGAGUGCGUAACAGCUCACUAGUCGAGGAGUUUGGCGUGGAUAAUAAUCGGGCAUUAAGCAAUUUACCGAAGCUAUGGGAUGUUAACUAAACACUAACAUCGGUAGGGGAGCAUUCCACUCUGCGUCGAAGGUGAAGCGUGAGCUUUGCUGGAGCGUGUGGAAAAGCAAAUGUAGGUAUAAGUAACGAUAAAGGGGGUGAGAAACCCCCUCGCCGAAAGACUAAGGUUUCCUGAUCAACGCUAAUCGGAUCAGGGUUAGUCGGGUCCUAAGGCUCAGCCGAACGGUGAGGCCGAUGGCAGAACAGGUUAAUAUUCCUGUACUACCUUAAGGAGUGACGUGGAGACGGAGGAGUGACAACGCCGCGGACUGACGGAAUAGUCCGUUGAAGGGUGUAGAUGUUGAUUAUCCCAGGCAAAUCCGGGAUAAGAGUCGAACCUGAUAGUAUACCAAAUUCUUCGGAAUAAGGUAAUAGUGCGUGUAAGCAUACUCCCAAGAAAAUCCGCUAAACUUAAUCUUUAAGGUACCCGUACCGCAAACGGACACACGUAGUCGGGUUGAAUAUACUAAGGCGCUUGAGUGAUUCACGGUUAAGGAACUAGGCAAAUUGACCCUGUAACUUCGGGAUAAAGGGUCCCAACGAGAGUUGGGCGCAGAGAAUAGGUCCAGGCAACUGUUUAACAAAAACACAGGGCUGUGCUAAAUUGAAAGAUUACGUAUACAGCCUGACACCUGCCCGGUGCUGGAAGGUUAAGAGGAGAUGUCAUCGCAAGAGAAGCAUUGAAUUGAAGCCCCAGUAAACGGCGGCCGUAACUAUAACGGUCCUAAGGUAGCGAAAUUCCUUGUCGGGUAAGUUCCGACCUGCACGAAUGGUGUAAUGAUCUGGACACUGUCUCAACCGUGAGCUCAGUGAAAUUGUAGUAUCGGUGAAGAUGCCGAUUACCCGCGAUGGGACGAAAAGACCCCGUGAACCUUUACUAUAGCUUAACAUUGAAUUUGGGUAAUUGAUGUGUAGGAUAGGCCGGAGACUUUGAAGCAGGUACGCCAGUAUUUGUGGAGUCGCUGUUGAAAUACGGCCCUUUGAUUAUUUGAGUUCUAACUCGUAGAUACGAGGACACUGUUUGGUGGGUAGUUUGACUGGGGUGGUCGCCUCCAAAAGUGUAACGGAGGCUUCUAAAGGUGCCCUCAGGACGAUUGGUAACCGUCCGUAGAGUGUAAUGGCAUAAGGGCGCUUGACUGGGAGACAGACAAGUCGAUCAGGUAGGAAACUAGAGCAUAGUGAUCCGGUGUUUCCGUAUGGAAGGGACAUCGCUCAAAGGAUAAAAGGUACUCCGGGGAUAACAGGCUGAUCCCUCCCAAGAGCUCAUAUCGACGGAGGGGUUUGGCACCUCGAUGUCGGCUCGUCACAUCCUGGGGCUGGAGAAGGUCCCAAGGGUUGGGCUGUUCGCCCAUUAAAGUGGCACGCGAGCUGGGUUCAGAACGUCGUGAGACAGUUCGGUCUCUAUCUAUCGUGGGCGUAUGAAAUUUGCGUGGCUCUGACACUAGUACGAGAGGACCGUGUUGGACUGACCGCUGGUUUACCAGUUGUGCCGCCAGGUGCAUUGCUGGGUAUCUAAGUCGGGAUUGGAUAAGUGCUGAAAGCAUCUAAGUACGAAGCCAGCCACAAGAUUAGAUUUCUUAGGGUCGUCAAAGACGAUGACGUUGAUAGGAUGCAGGUGUAAAGGUGGUAACAUCAAAGCCGAGCAUUACUAAUUGCCCGUUCACUUUCUUU